RNAcentral lists this transfer RNA (68 nucleotides) under Ictidomys tridecemlineatus (thirteen-lined ground squirrel). Its description in RNAcentral is "Spermophilus tridecemlineatus (thirteen-lined ground squirrel) tRNA". It matches the Rfam family "tRNA". Rfam says of the family: Transfer RNA (tRNA) molecules are approximately 80 nucleotides in length. Their secondary structure includes four short double-helical elements and three loops (D, anti-codon, and T loops). Lineage: Eukaryota; Metazoa; Chordata; Mammalia; Rodentia; Sciuridae. The record is from Rfam by way of RNAcentral.
GGGUAUGUGGCUCAAUGAUAGAGCACUUGCCUAGCAUGCAUAAGAGCCUGGGUUCCUUCCCCAGCCCA